GAUGAAGAACGCAGCGAAAUGCGAUACGUAAUGUGAAUUGCAGAAUUCAGUGAAUCAUCGAAUCUUUGAACGCACAUUGCACUCUCUGGUAUUCCGGAGAGUAUGCUUGUUUGAGUAUCUGUAAACAUCUCAACCCUCAAGGCGCUUGCGUCGGGAGGAUUGGACUUGAGCGAUCCCGACUCUUUCUCACGGAAGAGGAGGGUCGCUUGAAAUGCAGGUGCAGCAGGACAUUCUUCUGAGCUAAAAGCAUAUCUAUUUAGUCCCGUCAAACGGAUUAUUACUUUUGCUUCAGCUAACAUAAAGGUCGAAUGAACCACAAUCGCUGAUUGCAGGAAAACUCGUUCGUAAGAACUUGUGAACUCGAUCUCAAAUCAAGUAAGACUACCCGCUGAACUUAAGCAUAUCAAUAAGCUGAGGA
This 418-nucleotide unclassified non-coding RNA is filed under the name soil metagenome. Its description in RNAcentral is "partial contains 5.8S ribosomal RNA, internal transcribed spacer 2, and large subunit ribosomal RNA". The stretch from base 1 to 120 matches the Rfam family "5.8S ribosomal RNA", at positions 35 to 154 of the family's 154-position model. The record is from RNAcentral.